AAAUCUGGGAGGUUUUAUCUGUUAGCACACAUCUCUACUCAAUCUCUGUUCAGGAACCUCCACAGCCAAACUGGAACAUUACAUAUGUGAGUUGUGCAGUUAAAACGGUGACUCUGAAGCCACCUUCCGCCCACUGAAACAGCGGAGAUCUGCCUCCCAGGGCAAAGAAAGGCAUCCCUCUGCCCCUUGGUUCUCUGCUGGUGUUGGUUCCAGUGUGGGCAGGAGUACGGAGCUCUGCUGUGUCUGAAACUACUUCCUGUGUUGUUGUAGGGGUCAUACAGAAAGGAUCAUGGAAAAGAAUGGCUCUCCUGAAAACAGCGCCGAGGGAAAUUUAAGCAGAAUUUCUGGAAUUUCAUGGUUUCACUCAACAGCUUCAGUACCCGUUUUGAUUAAGGCUGCAUUUCGUCACCAUCGGAACCAGCGUUUGGGUUUUUUUGUUUUGAGAAGAAACUCUGCUGCUGUUUUGACUCGGACCGCGCCUGGGUUCGGUGCUGGGAUUCAGCCUUAUUGGCACCAGAAGCUCAAACAAAGCUGAAGGAAGGAGGCACGAAACACUCCAUAAUUUCCUUGGAUCCAAUGCAGGAAAUAGAAUAUUGCAG
RNAcentral lists this long non-coding RNA (599 nucleotides) under Gallus gallus (chicken). RNAcentral's name for it is "lncRNA (ENSGALG00010002816.1)". Lineage: Eukaryota; Metazoa; Chordata; Aves; Galliformes; Phasianidae. The record is from RNAcentral.